CGAGCAGCUGAUGGUUAAAGACCUUGGUUUAACAACCAGCUGCAGCUUUCUCUCAAUCUUCAACCUUGUGCCCAAACCAGUAAUCCUCCAGGGCGCCAAUAUAUAUUACUCAUAGCUCUUAACUGUAUAAUUGCACAACGUCAGAGGAAUGAUGGCUGACUGCUCAGGUGCGGAUAUGAGGGCAAACGAACCAACAAACAAGCAAGAAAACAAACCAACCAACAGACAUGCAAGUUAGCCAACCAACCAACAAACAGGCAAACAAACCGAAUAACAAAGCAACACACACGCAAGUAAACCCGCAACAAGCAGACAGACGAGACAACAAACAUGCAAGUUAGCCAACCAACAAACCAACCAGCCAUCAAGCAAACAAACAAACCCACAAACAAGCUGACAAACAAACCAAAUAACAAACCAACACACAUGCAAGUAAGCCAACAACAAGCAGACAAACAAACUAACCAACAAACAUGCAAGUUAGCCAAUCAACAAACAAAAACAAACAAACAAACAAACCAACAAGCAGGCAAACAAACCAAAUAACAAACCAACACACUUGCAAAUAAACCCACAACAAGCAGCCAAACAAGACAACAAACGAACAAUUGAACCAACCAGCCAUCAAGAAAACAAACAAACAAACAAGCAAUAAACCAACCAACAAACCAACCAGCCAUCAAGCAAACAAACAAACAAACAAGCAAGUGAACCAACCAACAAACCAACCAGCCAUCAAGCAAACAAACAAACAAGCAAGCAAGUGAACCAACCAACAAACCAACCAGCCAUCAAACAAACAAACAAACAAACAAGCAAGUGAACCAACCAACAAACCAACCAGCCAUCAAGCAAACAAACAAACAAACAAAUAAGCAAGUGAACCAACCAACAAACCAACCAGCCAUCAAACAAACAAACAAACAAACAAGCAAGUGAACCAACCAGCCACCAAGCAAACAAACAAACAAACAAGUAAACCAACCAACAAAUAAACCAGCCACCAAGCAAACAAACAAACAAACAAACAAGCAAGUGAACCAACCAACAAACCAACCAGCCAUCAAGCAAACAAACAAACAAACACGCAAGUGAACCAACCAGCCAUCAAGCAAACAAACAAACAAACACGCAAGUAAACCAACCAACAAACAAAGCAAGCAAGCAAAUGAAUGAAUUAAUUAGCAACAAAAUUUUGGAUGCUAAAUAUUUUGAUACACACAGUAUUUUUUUGUCUUUUUUUUAUAUUUUGAUAUUGUCAUACAAAAUAAAACAAG
Long non-coding RNA from Ictalurus punctatus (channel catfish), 1277 nucleotides. Lineage: Eukaryota; Metazoa; Chordata; Actinopteri; Siluriformes; Ictaluridae. The record is from Ensembl.